UGUCGGAUUAGUUUUUCCGUUAUGUCGCCGGAACUCCGCCGGAAUCAAUUUCUGCUUAAAAUACCCAUUUUUAAGCAAAGUCUCAACCUUUGGGCUGAAAACUAUCGCCUUAGCUUAGUGCUAGUAGGAUUAGUCGUCAUAAUCGUCGUUAGUAUCAACCCCAUCUAAUUUGUUUUUCGAAACUCUGAUUUUGAAAUUCUGAGCUGAAAAUAAUGACCAAAAUACCCCUGCGACAGUUUUCGAUUCGAUAUUUUUUCUGAGAGUUUCCUUGGCCUAGAUAUCGCCUAAGAAUACCUAGGAAUCGAUUUAGAUCGAAGAAAAAGUUCGGAAACCCUAUUUUACAUAGUGGCCGAAACCUAUUGCUUAGAGUACCGUGUCCAAAAAUAAUUUUUGGGUCUCUAUGACCUGAGCCAUUGCGUAGCUCUUCCGAUUGUCGAAAUUUUGGCGCUGGUUUCGUGUCAUUCCGAGUUCUGUAGCUCGAGUUAUGCUCGUUUUAGCGAACGAGGUUAUGUCGUCUAUUCAUGCUUAAAAAUUGUACUCUGAAGCUUCUUAAGCUUUGUCUAACGCUAGUUAGUGUUAUAUUGACCGAAUUGACUUGUUUUGAUUGACCUUCGCUUCGUUUGCUCAAAGAUUCGUUUGGAGGAACACUUGGAGCAGGAAAAGAGGAUUGUGAAGGAGCCUUGCUUGAACACACUGGACGAGUUCGAGACGUCCAACAGCUGAUUCAAGAUGGAUCGUCGUUCGGGGAGGAUCCGGAGCGCAAUGACUAUUACUGAGCCUUUGACGUGGACCCGGACUUCAUGCAUGAUCGGAUGAGGGUCGAUGUUAGGAGUGUAUUAUAUGGGGGGAUUGUUUUCACAGCUCUGAUUGUCAUUUCCCGUUUUGGGGCUGACUUAUCUCCUUGAAAACUGUAUUCAUAAAACUCAUGGCUCUGACCAUGGGAUGCACUUAUUCGCCUGCGGGCACUAUCCCCAAUUACUUUAUGUUUAUUA
Lotus japonicus is the source of this 992-nucleotide long non-coding RNA. RefSeq lists it as uncharacterized. The transcript has 2 exons. The record is from RefSeq and is a predicted model, not a curated record. Lineage: Eukaryota; Viridiplantae; Streptophyta; Magnoliopsida; Fabales; Fabaceae.